This 414-nucleotide ribosomal RNA is filed under the name uncultured microorganism. Its description in RNAcentral is "bacterial SSU rRNA". It matches the Rfam family "Archaeal small subunit ribosomal RNA", at positions 459 to 872 of the family's 1478-position model. The record is from RNAcentral.
CAGCCGCCGCGGUAAUACCAGCCCCGCGAGUGGUCGGGACGAUUAUUGGGCCUAAAGCGUCCGUAGCCGGGCUGGUAAGUCCUCCGGGAAAUCUGGUCGCUUAACGAUCAGACUUCCGGAGGAUACUGCUGGCCUAGGGACCGGGAGAGGCCGAGGGUAUUCCCGGGGUAGGGGUGAAAUCCUGUAAUCCCGGGAGGACCACCUGUGGCGAAGGCGCUCGGCUGGAACGGGUCCGACGGUGAGGGACGAAGGCCAGGGGAGCGAACCGGAUUAGAUACCCGGGUAGUCCUGGCUGUAAACGAUGCGGACUAGGUGUCGGGCAAGCUAAGGGCUUGUCCGGUGCCGCAGGGAAGCCGUUAAGUCCGCCGCCUGGGGAGUACGGCCGCAAGGCUGAAACUUAAAGGAAUUGGCGGG